ACCUGGCUGGCUCAGUGGGUACAGCAUGCAACUCCUGAUCUCAGGGUUGUGGGUUCGAGCCCCACACUGGGUG
This 73-nucleotide transfer RNA is filed under the name Felis catus (domestic cat). It matches the Rfam family "tRNA". From Rfam's summary of the family: Transfer RNA (tRNA) molecules are approximately 80 nucleotides in length. Their secondary structure includes four short double-helical elements and three loops (D, anti-codon, and T loops). RNAcentral also lists the same sequence under 1 other name. The record is from Rfam by way of RNAcentral. Lineage: Eukaryota; Metazoa; Chordata; Mammalia; Carnivora; Felidae.